GUAAUGGCAGGUCAGCAUACUGCCGUGAAUACGUUCCCGGGCCUUGUACACACCGCCGUCACACCAUGAGAGUUGGGGAUACCCGAAGCCUGUGAGCUAACUAUUUAUAGGAGCAGCAGUCGAAGGUAGAAUCAAUGAUUGGGGUGAAGUCGUAACAAGGUAAC
Molecule: ribosomal RNA, 164 nt
Filed under: uncultured bacterium
Lineage: Bacteria
Description: partial 16S ribosomal RNA
Rfam family: Bacterial small subunit ribosomal RNA
Source: RNAcentral